GAUGAAGAACGCAGCGAAAUGCGAUAAGUAAUGCGAAUUGCAGAAUUUCCGUGAGUCAUCGAAUCUUUGAACGCACAUUGCGCCUGCCAGCACUCUGGCAGGCAUGCCUGUUCGAGCGUCAUUUCAACCAUCAAGCCCUAGGCUUGCGUUGGAGCCCUGCGGCUGCCGCAGGCCCCUAAAAGCAGUGGCGGGCUCGCUAUCACACCGAGUGCAGUAGAUUACUCUUCGCUCAGGGCGUGUGGCGGGUUCCAGCCGUGAAACCCCCUACUUCUCAAGGUUGACCUCGGAUCAGGUAGGAAUACCCGCUGAACUUAAGCAUAUCAAUAAGCGGAGGA
RNAcentral lists this unclassified non-coding RNA (335 nucleotides) under soil metagenome. RNAcentral's name for it is "partial contains 5.8S ribosomal RNA, internal transcribed spacer 2, and large subunit ribosomal RNA". The stretch from base 1 to 121 matches the Rfam family "5.8S ribosomal RNA", at positions 35 to 154 of the family's 154-position model. The record is from RNAcentral.